Molecule: ribosomal RNA, 301 nt
Filed under: uncultured bacterium
Lineage: Bacteria
Description: partial 16S ribosomal RNA
Rfam family: Bacterial small subunit ribosomal RNA
Source: RNAcentral
CAGCAGCCGCGGGAAUACGUAGGUGGCAAGCGUUGUCCGGAAUUAUUGGGCGUAAAGGGCUCGCAGGCUGUUUCUUAAGUCUGAUGUGAAAGCCCCCGGCUCAACCGGGGAGGGUCAUUGGAAACUGGGAAACUUGAGUGCAGAAGAGGAGAGUGGAAUUCCACGUGUAGCGGUGAAAUGUGUAGAGAUGUGGAGGAACACCAGUGGCGAAGGCGACUCUCUGGUCUGUAACUGACGCUGAGGAGCGAAAGCGUGGGGAGCGAACAGGAUUAGAUACCCGGGUAGUCCCUGUCUCUUAUAC